CCUACGGGAUGCACCAGUGGGGAAUAUUGGACAAUGGGCGAAAGCCUGAUCCAGCAAUGCCGCGUGUGUGAAGAAGGUCUUCGGAUUGUAAAGCACUUUCGACGGGGGUGAUGAUGACGGUACCCGUAGAAGAAGCCCCGGCUAACUUCGUGCCAGCAGCCACGGUAAUACGAAGGGGGCUAGCGUUGCUCGGAAUGACUGGGCGUAAAGAGCGCGUAGGCGGUUUAUGCAGUCAGAUGUGAAAUCCCCGGGCUUAACCUGGGAACUGCAUUUGAGACGCAUAGACUAGAGGUCGAGAGAGGGUUGUGGAUUUCCCAGCGUAGAGGUGAAAUUCGUAGAUAUUGGGAAGAGCACCGGUGGCGAAGGCGGCAACCUGGCUCGAUACUGACGCUGAGGCGCGAAAGCGUGGGGAGCAAACAGGAUUAGAUACCCGUGUAGUC
This 440-nucleotide ribosomal RNA is filed under the name uncultured bacterium. RNAcentral's name for it is "bacterial SSU rRNA". It matches the Rfam family "Bacterial small subunit ribosomal RNA", at positions 338 to 795 of the family's 1533-position model. The record is from RNAcentral.